CUUUGGGAUAACCCUCGGAAACGGGGGCUAAUACCGAAUAGGACUUCUGGCCGCAUGGCUGGUGGUGGAAAGUUUUUCGGCUUGGGAUGGGCUCGCGGCCUAUCAGCUUGUUGGUGGGGUGAUGGCCUACCAAGGCGACGACGGGUAGCCGGCCUGAGAGGGCGACCGGCCACACUGGGACUGAGACACGGCCCAGACUCCUACGGGAGGCAGCAGUGGGGAAUAUUGCACAAUGGGCGGAAGCCUGAUGCAGCGACGCCGCGUGAGGGAUGACGGCCUUCGGGUUGUAAACCUCUUUCAGCAGGGACGAAGCGAGAGUGACGGUACCUGCAGAAGAAGCACCGGCCAACUACGUGCCAGCAGCCGCGGUAAGACGUAGGGUGCGAGCGUUGUCCGGAUUUAUUGGGCGUAAAGAGCUCGUAGGCGGCUUGUCGCGUCGACCGUGAAAACUUGGGGCUCAACCCCAAGCCUGCGGUCGAUACGGGCAGGCUAGAGUUCGGUAGGGGAGACUGGAAUUCCUGGUGUAGCGGUGAAAUGCGCAGAUAUCAGGAGGAACACCGGUGGCGAAGGCGGGUCUCUGGGCCGAUACUGACGCUGAGGAGCGAAAGCGUGGGGAGCGAACAGGAUUAGAUACCCUGGUAGUCCACGCUGUAAACGUUGGGCGCUAGGUGUGGGGGGCCUCUCCGGUUCCCUGUGCCGCAGCUAACGCAUUAAGCGCCCCGCCUGGGGAGUACGGCCGCAAGGCUAAAAC
Molecule: ribosomal RNA, 751 nt
Filed under: Micromonospora vinacea
Lineage: Bacteria; Bacillati; Actinomycetota; Actinomycetes; Micromonosporales; Micromonosporaceae
Description: bacterial SSU rRNA
Rfam family: Bacterial small subunit ribosomal RNA
Source: RNAcentral